AGCGAACGCUGGCGGCAGGCCUAACACAUGCAAGUCGAACGGAUCCUUCGGGAUUAGUGGCGGACGGGUGAGUAACACGUGGGAACGUGCCCUUUGGUUCGGAACAACUCAGGGAAACUUGAGCUGAUACCGGAUGUGCCCUUCGGGGGAAAGAUUUAUCGCCAUUGGAGCGGCCCGCGUCUGAUUAGCUAGUUGGUGAGGUAACGGCCCACCAAGGCGACGAUCAGUAGCUGGUCUGAGAGGAUGAUCAGCCACACUGGGACUGAGACACGGCCCAGACUCCUACGGGAGGCAGCAGUGGGGAAUCUUGCGCAAUGGGCGAAAGCCUGACGCAGCCAUGCCGCGUGAAUGAUGAAGGUCUUAGGAUUGUAAAAUUCUUUCAGCGGGGACGAUAAUGACGGUACCCGCAGAAGAAGCUCCGGCUAACUUCGUG
This 433-nucleotide ribosomal RNA is filed under the name uncultured bacterium. Its description in RNAcentral is "partial 16S ribosomal RNA". It matches the Rfam family "Bacterial small subunit ribosomal RNA", at positions 29 to 507 of the family's 1533-position model. The record is from RNAcentral.